GACGAACGCUGGCGGCGUGCCUAAUACAUGCAAGUGGGACGCAAGGGGACACACUGUGCUUGCACACCGUGUUUUCUUGAGUCGCGAACGGGUGAGUAACGCGUAGGUAACCUGCCUAUUAGCGGGGGAUAACUAUUGGAAACGAUAGCUAAUACCGCAUAAUAUUAAUUAUUGCAUGAUAAUUGAUUGAAAGAUGCAAGCGCAUCACUAGUAGAUGGACCUGCGUUGUAUUAGCUAGUUGGUAAGGUAAGAGCUUACCAAGGCGACGAUACAUAGCCGACCUGAGAGGGUGAUCGGCCACACUGGGACUGAGACACGGCCCAGACUCCUACGGGAGGCAGCAGUAGGGAAUCUUCGGCAAUGGACGAAAGUCUGACCGAGCAACGCCGCGUGAGUGAAGAAGGUUUUCGGAUCGUAAAGCUCUGUUGUAAGUCAAGAACGUGUGUGAGAGUGGAAAGUUCACACAGUGACGGAGCUACCAGAAAGGAC
Molecule: ribosomal RNA, 489 nt
Filed under: Streptococcus mutans
Lineage: Bacteria; Bacillati; Bacillota; Bacilli; Lactobacillales; Streptococcaceae
Description: bacterial SSU rRNA
Rfam family: Bacterial small subunit ribosomal RNA
Source: RNAcentral